RNAcentral lists this unclassified non-coding RNA (497 nucleotides) under Hevea brasiliensis (rubber tree). The record is from RNAcentral. Lineage: Eukaryota; Viridiplantae; Streptophyta; Magnoliopsida; Malpighiales; Euphorbiaceae.
AGAACCAAUGCAAUCAAGAUGAAAUUGAUGUCCACAUUGAAGCUUCGACCAGGAUCUAUCCCCAUUGUCGGUUACAGCUUCAAGACAAAUCGAACACGAAACCACCGAUGCCUUAUCUUCUCCUCCACCAACAUCUCCUCCUCCUCCGUCGCCGUCAUCCGUAAGAUCCACACCAUUCAAUCCCAUAAUUUACUGUCAAACACAAGCUACAACAACUUGGUUUACUCCUAGCAAAAAGAAGAAAAGAAGAAAAAAGAAAAACGGUAAUCUUGCGUUGAUCUUUGUUGAUGAAAAAAGAAAAGGGGGGGUAUGUAAGAAAAAAAAAGAUGAGGAGAAUCCGAUUAAGAAGGCUAAGCAAAAGGGUCUCGGAAUAUUGAGGAAGCGAUUUGGUGAUAGGUGAGAAGAGAAGAGAAGAGACGAGAAGAUGGAUGAGGCUGUACAAAAACUGUGAACCUCUUUUUCUUUCUAUUUUCCUAAAAACAUAUUCUCUCUCCUCA